Molecule: ribosomal RNA, 500 nt
Filed under: Amphisbaena cunhai
Lineage: Eukaryota; Metazoa; Chordata; Lepidosauria; Squamata; Amphisbaenidae
Description: partial 16S ribosomal RNA
Rfam family: Bacterial large subunit ribosomal RNA
Source: RNAcentral
GCCUGCCCAGUGACCCAGUUCAACGGCCGCGGUAUCCUAACCGUGCAAAGGUAGCACAAUCACUUGUUCUUUAAAUAAGGACUGGUAUGAACGGCACCAUGAGGAUCAACUUGUCUCUCAUAAUAGGUCCAUGAAACUGAUCUUUCAGUACAAAAGCUGAAAUAAAACCACAAGACGAGAAGACCCCGUGGAGCUUAAAACCACACCCCACCAUCUACCUGGGGCACCACUUUUAGUUGGGGCGACUCUGGAGAAAAACAAAACCUCCAAAUUCCUAAACUUUUGGCCAACACGCCUAGACAACAACUUUUUGACCCAAUACAAUUGAUCAAUGAACCAAGUUACCCCGGGGAUAACAGCGCAAUCCUCUUUUAGAGUUCCUAUCGACAAGAGGGCUUACGACCUCGAUGUUGGAUCAGGAUACCCAAAUAGUGCAGCCGCUAUUAAUGGUUCGUUUGUUCAACGAUUAAUCAAUCCUACGUGAUCUGAGUCCAGACCGG